AGCCCGGUCGUCUAGCGGCCAAAGGACCCAGCCCGGCCAUGGAUGCGGGGCUCUGGACCCCGUGGCCCGGGUUCGAAUCCCGGCCGGGCUA
RNAcentral lists this transfer RNA (91 nucleotides) under Thermoproteus tenax Kra 1. RNAcentral describes it as "transfer RNA-Gln(CTG)". The stretch from base 30 to 91 matches the Rfam family "tRNA". From Rfam's summary of the family: Transfer RNA (tRNA) molecules are approximately 80 nucleotides in length. Their secondary structure includes four short double-helical elements and three loops (D, anti-codon, and T loops). Lineage: Archaea; Thermoproteati; Thermoproteota; Thermoprotei; Thermoproteales; Thermoproteaceae. The record is from RNAcentral.